This is a long non-coding RNA of Papaver somniferum (opium poppy), 261 nucleotides long. RefSeq lists it as uncharacterized. The transcript has 2 exons. The record is from RefSeq and is a predicted model, not a curated record. NCBI's taxonomy places the organism in Eukaryota, Viridiplantae, Streptophyta, Magnoliopsida, Ranunculales, Papaveraceae.
AAAAAUGGUAUGCCUAAAAACAGUCCUCUUUUUGUACCUGAACAUUAUUAAUACGGAGCUUAUGGAAGAUUUUUGUUGGCUAAAGGGAAGAUGAAGACAGAAAUUACAGCGAUGGUUCGUCCAAAAGGAAAGGUUGUCGAAAGGAAUUUUUGUUUAAUUGUAUUGAAUGGCAGUCUCAAGGGUAAAAAUUAUAUUGUCGUCAUGUUCUUGGUGCUACUAUUAGCUUUGAUAAGUUUAAACAAAUGGUAAAGAGUAAGUUGA